This is a non-coding RNA of Pelobates cultripes (western spadefoot toad), 297 nucleotides long. NCBI's taxonomy places the organism in Eukaryota, Metazoa, Chordata, Amphibia, Anura, Pelobatidae. The record is from the annotation of a GenBank genome assembly.
CUAUCAUACCACCUUCUCUGGUGCCGCUGAGCCGCUUGCAGACUCUCCCUGCAAGCGAUCCCUCAACUCCAGAACGUACGGCAUACUAGGUAUUCCUUCCUCCCCUGUGUUACCCUCCCAGUGCUCCUGUAUGAUAUCCAGGAGUCCCUGUACUUUUCUCCCGUAAAGGAGUUUGAAGGGGGAGAACCCUGUAGAUGCCUGGGGCACUUCGCAGUAGGCAAACAGAAGAUGGGGAAGGAACCUUUCCCACUGCUGACAGGAGGCUGCGAACAUCGUAAGCAUCUGCUUAAGCUUGCC